RNAcentral lists this non-coding RNA (25 nucleotides) under Mus musculus (house mouse). Lineage: Eukaryota; Metazoa; Chordata; Mammalia; Rodentia; Muridae. The record is from RNAcentral.
UCUCUGCUGGCAUGGUAAUGACCUG